UUAGGAAAACGGGCACACAGUCUUCUUUUCUUGCAUCGCUGUCAGUUGAACUGGUCCUUGUUGAACGAUUUUGCUCUCAAGUACACAGUAGUUUGACCUCCAUCCUAUGAUUUUCUGCUGCAUCUGUCUUUGCCAGUGAUGUGUGCUGUUGUGUUUCUUAGGCAUAUACUACUGUUAAAUUCACUUGUUUUAUAUUCUUUAAAUCAUGAACUAAAACUAUUAACACUGAAGUUUAUUAUAGAAAAUACUUUUCUCUUUCUUAUAUUUUUUGAUGAUUGUUUUGCUUGGUUAAAUUACAGCUAACUAUUUUCUUCUUAUACUCUUUGUUUUGUGUAUUAUGCAGUUCGUAUGAACUAUCAUUUGUUCAUUUACUAUUAAUAGAAAUGCAUUCUUUUGUUUUCAUUAAUUACCUUGUGUUUAAUUAAUGAAUCUUGUAUUAACUGAUUUGUUUUUAAUUUACUUUUGGAAAUAGUUGUCCUCUAAGAACUUUCUGUUGCACUGGUUUGUUUCUCAUUAAUAGUCUUAUGAUAUGCUUACUUGUCUUAAAAUGUUAUUUUUUCCUCUCAAUAUUUAAUGAUAACUUUCAUAAAUUUAAUAAUCUUUGAUACCACUUAUUUUCUUUCAGGUGUUAAAAUGGUUUGAUCUUUGCUCUCUUGAAUUGUAGGGUUGAUUGUAAGACCCCUGUUGUUAUUCUCAUGCUUGACUUUGUAGUUAGUUUAGCAUUUUCCCAUAUAAUUUUUAGUACUGUUCAUUAUAUGUCCUCCAUGUUCUAUUUUUAACUUGUUCCUCAUACUGUUUCUUUUAUUUACCUUCGUCUUCAUUGAUCAUGGGCUUAAUUUCUGCACUUACAUUUAGGAAAGAAACUGAUUAGUUUGUGAUUAAUUUCUUACCAAUUUUCUUGAAGCUUGAAUGAGGUUCCAUCUCACCUUUUAGUCUAUAGCGUUUAAAUAUUUGGCUCCCAGUUCAUGACAAUUCUGAGUAGGAUCAGGGGCUGUGUCUCUGCUGGAGGAAGUAUGUAGUUGGAAUUUGAGGUUUCAAAAACCUGUCAUCAUUCAUAGUUUGCCCACUCUGCUUUCUGCUUGCAGUUUAGAAUGUGGGUUUAUAGCUGUUCCUGCACCAUGCCUCCCUGUUCCUGGGCUUACUUGUGAUAAAUAUCACUUGUGAUAGUGGUGGAUUCAUAUCCCAUAUCUCUCUAGAAUUGUAUCACCAAAGUGAACCUCCUCCUCUUCCUCCUCCUCCUCUUCCUCCUCCUGCUCCUCCACUUCUUCUUCUUUCUGCUCCUCCUCUUCUAUUGCGUCCUGCUCGACCGGCAAGAAAGACACAACAAACCAGAAUCUUCCGCGGCAAGAGCUUUAUUGCUUGCUUCUUCAGGAAGACCCCGAACCGGGAAAAUGGUGCUGCUUUUAUAAUCCGCAGCAUGACGUUUCAGCACCUGAUAUGGCGUGACAGCUCCUGAUUCAUUGCUUGCCCAUCACCCCACUAUUACACCCCGAGAAUGGGAGUGACUAGGAGUGAAUUCACUCUCGCACCUGCGUACAAGGCUUGUUUACUAGUUAGGCACAGCAGAGGCCUAUAAUGGCGAUUGCUCGCGGCACACAUGGCUCUCCUCAGAGAUUACUGGCGGCACGCAUUCGAUUGCUCGCAGCACGUACCGGCUCUCCACACUCUUCCAUCUUUGCUUUUCAUAAGCUGCCAUUGUCUUGUUGUUGUAUUAGAGCAACAAAAAUAUUAGACAAUAAUACCUUGUAGGAAAGAACUUGUGUAGUUUACUUCUGUCUCUGAGAAAAUGCAGAGACCAUGACACUAAGAUAAUAACUAAGAAUGUAAUUUACAAUGGUUUGGGGAAUAGAUCAUUAAUAAUCAAGUAGCAAGCUAUGAAGUGAAUUGGAAAAGAGGAAAGUAGGUAAAAUGUGAACAAAGUAGAUGAUAUAUGGGUUAGAAAUAUUAUAAAUAAUAGAAAAAGUAUUGCAGAGUCAGUGGGUGAAAUGGAAACUCUACUAGCCUAUUCAGGCUAAGAUACAAACUAAAAAAACAAAAUAAAAACAAACAAACAAAACCAAAACAAAACAAAAAAGC
Molecule: long non-coding RNA, 2076 nt
Filed under: Mus musculus (house mouse)
Lineage: Eukaryota; Metazoa; Chordata; Mammalia; Rodentia; Muridae
Description: long non-coding RNA chr3:73188418-73190494
Source: RNAcentral